UCGGUUCUCGUCUACAGACUCUGCCUCAUCUGUGCGGGGCACAACAACGUGGGUUCUGCUACAUCCGUACUAUAUAUACUCUGCUCCCAAGUCCUGGCCAUCGGAUUCCAGUUCAGUUGCACCAGUAUCGUGACAACUGGUCUCUCAUCUGA
Bufo bufo (common toad) is the source of this 152-nucleotide long non-coding RNA. RefSeq lists it as uncharacterized. The record is from RefSeq and is a predicted model, not a curated record. Lineage: Eukaryota; Metazoa; Chordata; Amphibia; Anura; Bufonidae. The transcript is spliced from 3 exons.